Tatumella ptyseos ATCC 33301 is the source of this 113-nucleotide regulatory RNA element. It matches the Rfam family "RtT RNA". Rfam says of the family: This family represents a bacterial cis-regulatory element known as RtT RNA. The exact function of RtT is unknown although it is thought that it may be involved in changing the cellular response in relation to amino acid starvation. NCBI's taxonomy places the organism in Bacteria, Pseudomonadati, Pseudomonadota, Gammaproteobacteria, Enterobacterales, Erwiniaceae. The record is from Rfam.
UUUACGUCUGUAGUCAACAGGAUGAGAACCUCCGAAGGAGGUUUGAGCCGAGCGAAGCGAGACAACGUUGCGCAGCAACGGCCCGAAGGGGAAUAAUCCUCUCUCGCCGACCA